This 443-nucleotide ribosomal RNA is filed under the name uncultured bacterium. RNAcentral's name for it is "partial 16S ribosomal RNA". It matches the Rfam family "Bacterial small subunit ribosomal RNA", at positions 338 to 795 of the family's 1533-position model. The record is from RNAcentral.
CCUACGGGAGGCUGCAGUGGGGAAUAUUGGGCAAUGGGCGCAAGCCUGACCCAGCAACGCCGCGUGAAGGAAGAAGGCUUUCGGGUUGUAAACUUCUGUUCUGAGGGACGAAGAAAGUGACGGUACCUCAGGAAUAAGCCACGGCUAACUACGGGCCAGCAGCCGCGGUAAUACGUAGGGGGCAAGCGUUAUCCGGAUUUAUUGGGUGUAAAGGGCGUGUAGGCGGGAAAGCAAGUCAGAUGUGAAAACUCAGGGCUCAACCCUUAGCCUGCAUUUGAAACUGUUUUUCUUGAGUGCUGGAGAGGCAAUCGGAAUUCCUUGUGUAGCGGUGAAAUGCGUAGAUAUACGGAGGAACACCAGUGGCGACGGCGGAUUGCUGGACAGUAACUGACGCUGAGGCGCGAAAGCGUGGGGAGCAAACAGGAUUAGAUACCCUAGUAGUC